GACGAACGCUGGCGGCGUGCUUAACACAUGCAAGUCGAACGGUAAGGCCCUUCGGGGUACACGAGUGGCGAACGGGUGAGUAACACGUGGGUGAUCUGCCCUGCACUUCGGGAUAAGCCUGGGAAACUGGGUCUAAUACCGGAUAGGACCACUGCCUGCAUGGGUGGUGGUGGAAAGCUUUUGCGGGGUGGGAUGGGCCCGCGGCCUAUCAGCUUGUUGGUGGGGUGAUGGCCUACCAAGGCGACGACGGGUAGACGGCCUGAGAGGGUGACCGGCCACACUGGGACGGGGAUACGGCCCGGACUCCUACGGGAGGCAGCAGUGGGGAAUAUUGCACAAUGGGCGCAAGCCUGAUGCAGCGACGCCGCGUGAGGGAUGGCGGCCUUCGGGUGGUAAACCUCUUUCAGCACCAACGAAACGCAAAUGACGGUAGGUGCAGAAGAAGGACCGGCCAACUACGUGCCAGCCGCCGCAGUAA
This 478-nucleotide ribosomal RNA is filed under the name uncultured bacterium. RNAcentral describes it as "partial 16S ribosomal RNA". It matches the Rfam family "Bacterial small subunit ribosomal RNA", at positions 28 to 523 of the family's 1533-position model. The record is from RNAcentral.